GACGAACGCUGGCGGCGUGCUUAACACAUGCAAGUCGAACGGAAAGGCCCUGCUUUUGUUGGUUGCUCGAGUGGCGAACGGGUGAGUAACACGUGAGUAACCUGCCCUUGACUUUGGGAUAACUUCAGGAAACUGGGGCUAAUACCGGAUAUGAGCUCCUGCUGCAUGUUGGGGGUUGGAAAGUUUCGGCGGUUGGGGAUGGACUCGCGGCUUAUCAGCUUGUUGGUGGGGUAGUGGCUUACCAAGGCUUUGACGGGUAGCCGGCCUGAGAGGGUGACCGGCCACAUUGGGACUGAGAUACGGCCCAGACGCCUACGGGAGGCAGCAGUGGGGAAUAUUGCACAAUGGGCGGAAGCCUGAUGCAGCAACGCCGCGUGCGGGAUGACGGCCUUCGGGUUGUAAACCGCUUUCGCCUGUGACGAAGCGUGAGUGACGGUAAUGGGUAAAGAAGCACCGGCUAACUACGUG
RNAcentral lists this ribosomal RNA (468 nucleotides) under uncultured bacterium. Its description in RNAcentral is "partial 16S ribosomal RNA". It matches the Rfam family "Bacterial small subunit ribosomal RNA", at positions 28 to 507 of the family's 1533-position model. The record is from RNAcentral.